GUGGGGAAUCUUAGACAAUGGGGGAAACCCUGAUCUAGCCAUGCCGCGUGAGCGAUGAAGGCCUUAGGGUUGUAAAGCUCUUUCAGUGGGGACGAUAAUGACGGUACCCACAGAAGAAGCCCCGGCUAACUUCGUGCCAGCAGCCGCGGUAAUACGAAGGGGGCUAGCGUUGUUCGGAUUUACUGGGCGUAAAGCGCACGUAGGCGGAUCGUUUAGUCGGGGGUGAAAUCCUGGAGCUCAACUCCAGAACUGCCUUCGAUACUGGCGAUCUUGAGUCCGGAAGAGGUGAGUGGAACUCCUAGUGUAGAGGUGGAAUUCGUAGAUAUUAGGAAGAACACCAGUGGCGAAGGCGGCUCACUGGUCCGGUACUGACGCUGAGGUGCGAAAGCGUGGGGAGCAAACAGGAUUAGAUACCCUUGUAGUCC
This 425-nucleotide ribosomal RNA is filed under the name uncultured bacterium. Its description in RNAcentral is "bacterial SSU rRNA". It matches the Rfam family "Bacterial small subunit ribosomal RNA", at positions 354 to 796 of the family's 1533-position model. The record is from RNAcentral.